Saimiri boliviensis boliviensis (Bolivian squirrel monkey) is the source of this 107-nucleotide small nuclear RNA. The record is from Ensembl. Lineage: Eukaryota; Metazoa; Chordata; Mammalia; Primates; Cebidae.
AUGCUCACUUUGGCAGGACGUACACUAACAUGGAAACAAUACAGAGAAGAUUAGCUUGGCCUCUGCACAAGGAUGACACACAAAUUUGUGAAACAUUCUAUAUCAUU